GUGCAUUGGCGGCAGCUACACAUGCAAGUCGAGCGGAUGAGAGGAGCUUGCUCCUUGAUUUAGCGGCGGACGGGUGAGUAAUGCCUAGGAAUCUGCCUGGUAGUGGGGGAUAACGUUCCGAAAGGAACGCUAAUACCGCAUACGUCCUACGGGAGAAAGCAGGGGACCUUCGGGCCUUGCGCUAUCAGAUGAGCCUAGGUCGGAUUAGCUAGUUGGUGAGGUAAUGGCUCACCAAGGCGACGAUCCGUAACUGGUCUGAGAGGAUGAUCAGUCACACUGGAACUGAGACACGGUCCAGACUCCUACGGGAGGCAGCAGUGGGGAAUAUUGGACAAUGGGCGAAAGCCUGAUCCAGCCAUGCCGCGUGUGUGAAGAAGGUCUUCGGAUUGUAAAGCACUUUAAGUUGGGAGGAAGGGCAUUAACCUAAUACCUUGCUGUUUUGACGUUACCGACAGAAUAAGCACCGGCUAACUUCGUGCCAGCAGCCGCGGUAAUACGAAGGGUGCAAGCGUUAAUCGGAAUUACUGGGCGUAAAGCGCGCGUAGGUGGUUCGUUAAGUUGGAUGUGAAAGCCCCGGGCUCAACCUGGGAACUGCAUCCAAAACUGGCGAGCUAGAGUACGGUAGAGGGUGGUGGAAUUUCCUGUGUAGCGGUGAAAUGCGUAGAUAUAGGAAGGAACACCAGUGGCGAAGGCGACCACCUGGACUGAUACUGACACUGAGGUGCGAAAGCGUGGGAGCAAACAGGAUUAGAUACCCUGGUAGUCCACGCCGUAAACGAUGUCAACUAGCCGUUGGGUUCCUUGAGAACUUAGUGGCGCAGCUAACGCAUUAAGUUGACCGCCUGGGGAGUACGGCCGCAAGGUUAAAACUCAAAUGAAUUGACGGGGGCCCGCACAAGCGGUGGAGCAUGUGGUUUAUUCGAAGCAACGCGAAGAACC
RNAcentral lists this ribosomal RNA (939 nucleotides) under Pseudomonas sp. RNAcentral describes it as "bacterial SSU rRNA". It matches the Rfam family "Bacterial small subunit ribosomal RNA", at positions 31 to 970 of the family's 1533-position model. The record is from RNAcentral. Lineage: Bacteria; Pseudomonadati; Pseudomonadota; Gammaproteobacteria; Pseudomonadales; Pseudomonadaceae.